UGAUAGUUAGCGGCGGACGGGUGAGUAACACGUGGGUAACCUGCCUGUAAGACUGGGAUAACUCCGGGAAACCGGGGCUAAUACCGGAUGGUUGUUUGAACCGCAUGGUUCAGACAUAAAAGGUGGCUUCGGCUACCACUUACAGAUGGACCCGCGGCGCAUUAGCUAGUUGGUGAGGUAACGGCUCACCAAGGCGACGAUGCGUAGCCGACCUGAGAGGGUGAUCGGCCACACUGGGACUGAGACACGGCCCAGACUCCUACGGGAGGCAGCAGUAGGGAAUCUUCCGCAAUGGACGAAAGUCUGACGGAGCAACGCCGCGUGAGUGAUGAAGGUUUUCGGAUCGUAAAGCUCUGUUGUUAGGGAAGAACAAGUGCCGUUCAAAUAGGGCGGCACCUUGACGGUACCUAACCAGAAAGCCACGGCUAACUACGUGCCAGCAGCCGCGGUAAUACGUAGGUGGCAAGCGUUGUCCGGAAUUAUUGGGCGUAAAGGGCUCGCAGGCGGUUUCUUAAGUCUGAUGUGAAAGCCCCCGGCUCAACCGGGGAGGGUCAUUGGAAACUGGGGAACUUGAGUGCAGAAGAGGAGAGUGGAAUUCCACGUGUAGCGGUGAAAUGCGUAGAGAUGUGGAGGAACACCAGUGGCGAAGGCGACUCUCUGGUCUGUAACUGACGCUGAGGA
This 681-nucleotide ribosomal RNA is filed under the name Bacillus sp. (in: firmicutes). RNAcentral describes it as "bacterial SSU rRNA". It matches the Rfam family "Bacterial small subunit ribosomal RNA", at positions 86 to 752 of the family's 1533-position model. The record is from RNAcentral. Lineage: Bacteria; Bacillati; Bacillota; Bacilli; Caryophanales; Bacillaceae.